Molecule: non-coding RNA, 637 nt
Organism: Parasteatoda tepidariorum (common house spider)
Lineage: Eukaryota; Metazoa; Arthropoda; Arachnida; Araneae; Theridiidae
Source: RefSeq, a predicted model, not a curated record
UUUGUUUUGCGUGCCUGACAACUUCGAUGUAUAAUUAGUUUGUUUAUGUUCUACGUGGCUUAUGUGCAACUUAAGAGAAUUGAUACUUGACGAGCUUGGCUUAUUCCAAAUAGAAUGGAGAUAACAAUUGCUAACAGAAACAAAUGCUCAGUUACUACAACCAAUCAAGAUCGAUAUGCACCCACUAGUUAGUUGCAGUGAGCUCAAGAUAUUAGGAAUAACUCAUUAGGAAGUAAAAAGGUCUAUUGUCAAGGACUGGAGCCUGGGCAUGAUAUAUGAUUGAUUUCACAAGAGCCCAAGGGUGCUUGAAGCUUACUUACUUGAGACUAUAUAACUAUUAUCCAACAACUACUCAAAGAAUACACAAAGUUGAUGUGACGUCGGCAUACAUGUCAAAAAGGUAGAACUGGGAGAGAAAAUUGCAUGAAAGAUGUUUGUAAGAAUAAGCUGAUUCUUGACUUUAAAAAAUUUAAUGUAAAAGUCCUUUUUAUUUAUAAAAUACUCACCGUCCAAGUUGUUUCCCAGUGAUGAAGGAGUAAUGUGAGUUUGGGUAGCUGGUAUUUAGGCUAAAAGCUAUUUAAAAUCCUUUGUAAAGAUUGUUUCAUUUGAAUGUUUUCAAAUAAAUUGAUCUUGGUAU